RNAcentral lists this long non-coding RNA (577 nucleotides) under Sorghum bicolor (sorghum). RNAcentral's name for it is "long non-coding RNA (SBIC_LNC008574)". The record is from RNAcentral. Lineage: Eukaryota; Viridiplantae; Streptophyta; Magnoliopsida; Poales; Poaceae.
AGCAAGUUAUGUUUGAGCAUAGUAUGGGGUAGAAAUGUCCAAGACAAAUGAACAACAUUGUAUGAGAUGUUAAUUGUAGUUACAUGUUGCAUGAGGCUUGGACAAACGUACCUCAUAGCUUCAUCUUUCUAAGUAAGUGAUGACGAACUUACUUGGAAGAGGAGGGUUCGGGUUCAUCUAUUGGUGAGAGCUCCUGGUCUUGUUGAGCAAGGCUUUCCUUGUACUCUUCACCUUUUCACCAUUCAAUGAAACUAUAGAAGAUUACAUACUCUUCACUCAUCAAUCUUUUCCUGACUUCUUUGAUUAAUUUGCGGUUGAUGAGUUGGGGUCUAUUGGAGGUGCAAUAAUGUUCACUUGAAAACUUCUUCUCCAAUAUAUAAAGGUUGUUCUUUCUUGCAAAACAUUAAUGGACACAUACCCGAGGGAAUAGCAAGAUUGAAAUACGGGUUUUGUUGUCCAUACUUUUUUCUCCUAUGCUAAUCAAGAUGAUAUAUGGUUUAAGAUUAUUUAGCAUAAAUUGUGUCUAUUGUGUUUUAUGUUGUUGUUGCAAUCUAUCAUGGUUCAAGGAAAAGAUAAC